Molecule: microRNA, 21 nt
Filed under: Macaca mulatta (Rhesus monkey)
Lineage: Eukaryota; Metazoa; Chordata; Mammalia; Primates; Cercopithecidae
Also listed under: 2 other names
Description: mml-miR-3927
Source: miRBase by way of RNAcentral
CAGGUAGAUAUUUGAUAGGCA